Molecule: long non-coding RNA, 912 nt
Organism: Strigops habroptila (Kakapo)
Lineage: Eukaryota; Metazoa; Chordata; Aves; Psittaciformes; Psittacidae
Exons: 3
Source: RefSeq, a predicted model, not a curated record
AAUUAGUACUGAAAGAUCCUGCAGUGAGAAGCCUUUGAAGCUCACUUCUCAGAGGUGCUGUUGUCAUGACAGAUAAAAUGAGCUGGCACAAAGGAAAGAAGGAACUCACAGAAGAAAGCAUGGGAGAUGGGAAGCACAGCCGAAAAAAGCGAGAGCGACUAUUCAAGAAGAGAUUUUCUGGAUUGAGCCUCUUCUCUGGGUCUCCUAAGAAUAAACUCCCUCAGGGAAGAAGUCAGCUUCUUGAAGACAAGAGGAGAUGUUUACACAGGAAAGGUUCCAAAAAACUGAAGGCAGCGAGGGAGGAAAUAUGUUCUGUAAGGCAGCCCCACUCUGGGAAAAUGUGUCCGAAAUGUGAAAUCCUCGUCUGCCCCAAGUGUGAGACUCUGCACUCAGAACGGAGCUUCAUUGCCCACAGCCUGCUCGAUCACUACGACAAAGGUGACGCGGUCUGCAGAAAGUCAAGUAUGUAGAGGUCAUUAAAGAUUUGCUGUGGGUGCCUUGUGGGUACCCGACUACAUCCAAAAUGCUGAAGCUAGGGUCCAUUCAGGGUGACUGGAUCAUCACCCCAUGCAGUCUGUGUGCAGCAGUUACAACCAUAACUGUAGUUCAUACUUGCUAUAUGUAACAGAUGUACGUUCACCAAUUUAACUAGCAUAAACUCUGCAAACAAAGAUUUGUAAGUAGGAGCUAGAAGUUUCUCAGCUAUUAAGAACAGGGAAUUGUUUCAGAAACAUUUUCAAAGAGUUUUCUUUUUCCUCUCAAGGAAACAAGGUUAUCCCAUUGAGCUGCAAAAGAGAAAAUGAGUAUUAAAUGCAGAACCCCUGGGUGAUUACACUUGUUCGUAGUGCCUAGCUAUGUUUCAGUGCUGUUUGUGGUCUGGAAUAUUAAACUUUUGAUUUAUUUUUAAAUUUA